RNAcentral lists this non-coding RNA (24 nucleotides) under Mus musculus (house mouse). The record is from RNAcentral. Lineage: Eukaryota; Metazoa; Chordata; Mammalia; Rodentia; Muridae.
UGCUUUCAUUGUGUCCCAACGGUU